This 16-nucleotide small RNA is filed under the name Arabidopsis thaliana (thale cress). Its description in RNAcentral is "ATSL238060". Lineage: Eukaryota; Viridiplantae; Streptophyta; Magnoliopsida; Brassicales; Brassicaceae. The record is from RNAcentral.
UGUUACGUGGACGGAA